Molecule: non-coding RNA, 911 nt
Filed under: Pan troglodytes (chimpanzee)
Lineage: Eukaryota; Metazoa; Chordata; Mammalia; Primates; Hominidae
Source: RNAcentral
GGCCCUCAAUCUCGAUGAAGAUAACACGAGGAGUGCACAGGCAAGUGCCCAGUUGCCAGCAAUUGCUUCAAAAGCCCAUGUUCUUCUCUUCGCCCCAUUCUUAGGCACAGCCAAAAUUGGUCAGAAAGGGGAGUAAAGUGGGACACGAGCUUCAAAGUAGGGAAACCAAAGAAGGGAGCAUCCACGUCCUCCCUCUCCAGCUUCUCCCCCGCGUUCUUCGGAGGAAUCCGAGGGACGGGCGCUGCGCUGGGGAAAGUUUGUCCCACCCGCGUUUCGCAGCUGGUUGCAAGGAGAGGAGGAGGAGAGGGAGGGUCAAGCUCGGAGCCUGUGGCCGCACGGAUGAUCGAGCCGGCGUCGCGCUUACCUCGCAGUCCUCGUACUUGAUAUUAUCCGUCAAUUUCCAAAGCAUUUUCAUGGAUCGGCGUGAACGGAUAUGCCCCUCUCGGUCUCGCACCCAAGUGGAGCUACUCUCUGGCUCUUUACCAACAGCCUAAUCGCCUCAUUAGCAUAUCAACAAUAGUCCAAUUGCUCGCCAGUACCACAAUCUGCCGCCGGCCGCUCCGACACAGGUAUAAAGGCCUCUCUACGCCGCGAACUUGCUUCUAGAGCGCACUCCAGCCUGCGAACUGAUAAAACCUUCCUCGAGCUCCGCCGCGAGGCCCUGCCCCAACACCCCCUCUCUUACCCCAAUUCCGCCACAUUCCCCUUCCUUUCUUUCUCCGCUUCCUUUUCUCCAGAGAUGCCUUCUGCAAAGCCCGGCACUGCUCAAGGUCCAAGCGCCACGCCUGGGGCCCGGCUUCUAGCACUUCUCCCUUAACCCUGCUACCACGAUCCGAGCUGCCCUUUUGGCCCCGUGCAAUUUUAUUAGAAAUCAUUAUCCCUUUCGCAAUUAAACAUAACCACCAAACCAA